CAGACCUGGGGAAUCCACCUAUACACAGAAAUCUGUACAUAUUUCUCUGAGUUCUUUGUUGCCCGACAAUAAACUGUAAAAGGCAGUCAUAUUUGAAAGUAACAGCCAUUCGGCUGUGGUUCUGGGCUGCGGAGGCAGGCGCACGGUGAAGGAGGAGGAAAAGUACCGUACCUUUGCCCUCUCCUAAGCCAUUCUCUCCACAUGCAAAUCUGAAGUGCCUUGCUCCACCACAGCAGAACAUGGCCUGGGUUCUGCUCCUCGGAGGAGGAGGAGGAGGAGGAGGAAAUUAACAAGCCCUUCCCAGCCCCAUUCACAAACUGACAAGAGGCGGAGCCCAUAUCUUCAUCUGCCAGCACCAGCCCGGUCAGGGCACAGUCACCAGAACCUGACAUCUGCUGUGGAAUCUCCAUCACAAGUGAGACAUCUCUCGUGGGAGCUAACAUGGACGUGCGGUGGGGAGACGUAGGUGGGUGGCCAGACAGCCGAAGUCAGUCGCUCACUCCGGAGGACAGAAGGACAGACACCAUAGUGUUUAAGCUGCUGCCUUAACAUUUCCUGGGUAUGAAUUGGUCAUCUGAUGUUAUUCUCCACCACUUCUGAUUGAUUUUUUCCCCCAAAAUAAGUCUUUUAAAGGCCAGUGAGUGAAUGUGUGAGACCUGGCAAUCUGAGAUCCUUCCUCAGGGUCAACAUGGUAGAAAGAAAAGAAGCUCACCUUAAGAGUUGUCAUCUGGCCGGGUGUGGUGGCGCACGCCUUUAAUCCCAGCACUCAGGAGGCAGAGGCAGGUGGAUUUAUGAGUUCGAGGCCAGCCUGGUCUACAGAGUGACUUCCAGGACAGCCAGGGCUAUACAGAGAAACCCUGUCUCAAAAAACCAAAAAAAAAAAAAAAAAAAAAAAAAAAAAGAGUUGUCAUCUGACUCACACGUGUACACACACACAUACAAUACACACACACUCAAACAUAUACAAUACACACUCACAUACCACAUACUCACACUCACCCACUCUUACCCACUACACACACUCACACACCACACACAAUCACACACAUACACGCACACACACAAUACAUAAACACUCAUACACCACAUACACUCACACACACUACACAUACUCACACACCAUACAAAUUCUCUCUCAUACACACAUACACACACCUAUGCACACACACACACACAUACAGAAUACACACACACACCACAUACACAACACACCUACAUACUCUUAUACACAUUACUACACAUACACACCAUAUACAUACUACACUCACACACACACACACACACACACACACACAAAACACGCUCUCUCUCUCUCUCACAUACACACACUCACACAUAUGUGCACACACACAUAGUUUAAAACUGUGAAAGGUUUUUCAAGCUGGACUCUAAAAUAACUCGUACUAUUUUCAAGCCCAGCCGUAGCAUCUUCUCUUCAUUCAUAAAUCUCAUAUCAUCUUAAGCAAUUUCCAUUCAUCAGCAGGGAACGAAGAUGUUUGCUCUUUGGAGUCCAACAGAAAAAUAACCUAUGUGCAAAACACAGCUGACCAUUAUGGACAUUUGCAUGAAAGACUUUUGAAAAGAACAGAAUUUAUCAAGGAUGGUCUACCUGGAGCCACCAGCCAUCUUUAAUCAAUGGGAUUGAUAGUAUUAAAUGGAUUAUGAGAGUCCUACGUUUUAAAUUGCUCCAAUACCAUCAUUUUUAAAAGAAUGAUAUCCAUCAUCACUUUUGUUCCUUUUAGGCCAUCUCUAGCCUCCCUGGUUAUUUUUUUCUUCUAAAUAGAAAUAAACCUAGUUGCCAGAGGCUUGGAUUAUUACUUGAUGUGAAGUGAAUAUUUAUAGCUAUGUCAUUUCACGAUCCUUUCCUGAAUCUAACGCCUUUUCUAAAAUCCAGGCCCUCAGAAUAUGCAGCUGUCAAAUAGUAUUAAUACCACCUUACUGGGGGAGCACUACUGGGGAGCAUUGCUACUCUGGUCCCUUUUGUUAAUGUCUAUUCCGUUAAACCUCAACACUUUACAGGAAUCUCUCGCCUCUCUGCUACCGUGCAGCCUCAAAUCUAACCUGCUCCUUCUUUAAAGCCAAGAUCAUCAAAUACUCCUACUUUCACUAGCAUACCCAGUUUUUGGGGUUUUUUGUUUGUUUGUUUUGUUUUUAAGCCCUGUUUUGUGGUCCCAAGAAAGCUUCAGAACUAAGAAAACAUUCUGUGUCCCCAGCAGGAGACACGGCACAUCCUGCAGCACUCCUGUGUCCCCAGCAGGAGACAGGGCACAUCCUGCAGGACUCAAAGGCUCCCGAGAGCCCACACUGAGGGCUGAUCUUUUCUCUUUGGAUUUUGUGACAGCCCCCUUGGGUUCUCCUCCAGAAAGGAGCCCCUUGUGAAAGGCCUUUCCUGGAUGUGAGGAAAUCUCCCCUGUGGUCCUACCUCCUCACCCUGGGUCCUCUAGUACCCAGGUAAUUUCCUUGGGAACAAUUCCUAGGCCAGAAGAUCUACCUAAGUUAGACACUGUGUCCUUUCUGCCUGACACAAACUGAGCCUCGGAUAUGAAACUUCGAUGUCAGCAGAAAGCCUUCCUGAGAUGCACCCUGCCCGCCCUGCCCCCAUCUCACAGCUCGCUGACUUGUGGUCCAAAGGUCUCACAUGCCCAAGGCAUCUGGUGGACAUCAUCCACAGCUUCCUGUCAGGAGCCCUCUGGACAGAGUGGCCCACAUUUCUUGCAUGCAGCAAGAACAUCCCAGAGAAAGGCAACAUACUGGCCAGAUGUGAAAAUGCAAAGACUUCUCCCGCUUGGCUCUGGAUGAAGGAAGACACAAACAGGCGGUCUGUCUUCCUCAGCCCAGGCUCUCCCUAGCAUGUCCACUCAAGUCCUGUCAAGGGGGUGACACCACAGUAAUGGACCAUCUGUUUGGAGACUUUGUAUCUAGUAGUACCUGAACAAACCACUUAGUCAUCCCAUCCUCAACAAAGUCUUUUAACCACAGCCACGUCUAAACUGGCCCUCUUGCUACCUUGUAGCGAUCAUGAUGAUUUGCAUCCUGUGGGCUGUCCACAGUUGGAAUGCACCCAGAAAGCACCCAGAAUACGUUAAAAUUGCCUACAGAUUCGUCAGAACCUAAAACUUUAAGUAAAGACGGGAACAGUAAGUCUUGAUACAGUUACAGUUUCUGAUACACCGAAGUGCACAAACUGCAUUGUUCCUUAGAGCAAUGUAAAUCAUGGGUCAUUAAGACGCACACAAUUAGGAGGCACACGCUUAAUCGCUUAAUCGCAACUCAUGGCAAGAAAGGGAGAGAUCAUGAAUCAGGACAGAAAAUAAGAGGCUGUGGUGAGAAGGAACCUAAGGCCUCGGAAGCCUCAGAGUCAGGAUCCUAAUACCAUCCUUGCGUCGGCCAUCACAAGGAGCCCCAAGUAACGCAAUCGGUUUGCUGUCGAACUGCGUUGAGGGUGAGAUUUGAACCCAGAACACUAGGUACAGACUCAUGAAUUCUAAUAAACUAUAGACCCACUCUGUCCAAACCGUCACUUCAUGUGCAUGAAUCACCUCCUUGUCCUCUUUAUACACAAACAGUGCUUUGAUUUAGUUUGUGGAUCUACUCUGGUAGAAACUGGCUCCCCCUGACUCCACCUCUCCAUCAUUAGGCCUGACCAAGGACAGAGGCAACCACGGUUGCCAUACGGAGAUGAAUUGUUUCACAGAAAGGUUCGUGUACAGAAGGCAUGCACCAGCUGUUUAGGCACAGCAAUAGGCGAUGCCUACAAGCCAGGCUGGUGGCAUGCACCCUCAACACUCCUGUUAGAAGUCUCAAAAGGAUGGUCUCAUGUCACGGGGUGUCUUGGUUAGGGGUCUAUUGCUGUGAAGAGACACCACAACCAUGGCAACUCUUAUGAAAGAAAACAUUUCAUUGGGGCUGGCUCAUAGCUCAGACGUUUAGUCCAUUAUCAACAUGGUGGGAAACAUGGCGGCGUGCAGGCAGACAUGGUGCUGGAGAGGCAGCUGAGAGUCUGUGACACACUUUCUCCAACAAGGCCACAUCUACUUCAACAAGGCCAUAAUUCCUAACAGUUCCUUAUGGGCCUAUGGGGGCCAUUUUUACUCACCCCCUUCCCUCUGGGAAGGGACAGAGCGUGAAGCUGGAAUUGUAGUCUUUUCAGCAUUUGGGAAGAAGUUGGCUUUGAUUCACACCAACACAGAGGCAACCGCAGUUACCCUAUGGAUAUGAAUUGUUCCGCAAGAGGAAUCAUGUACUGAGUACCCAGCUGGCAUUGCUGCUGAGGGGUGAUCAAUUAAUGAAGGUCCCGAACUCCCAGUGGACAGACUGAUCUGUUGACACAUCCUUCCAUGGCAUAACUGGGAGAUGGUAGACACUUGGGGUAGACCCUCCUGGAGGAAGUAGAUGUGACGGAGUGCUCUGGAAGGGUAAACCUUCUCCCCUCUCUCCUUGCUCGCUACCCAUUGUAUGGUGAGCAUCCGAGCUCCACUAUACUCUCCAGUGAGCCCUGUAUUUCAUGAUACAGCUCAGGAAAGUGUAAUCACUAAAAGUAUAAUACGAAAUAAAUCCUUACUCCCUUAUGUUGCUCAUAGCAAUGAACCACUGACUAACACAGUAUUGUGUCAGUGUGUACAUGUGUAUUCAUAGGUGUGUUAUAAGUCUUCAGAGUUAGUUGUGUAAGAACCAAGGAAAGGGAAUGUCUUACUCCUGUGCCUCUCUCAGAAGAAAUCUACAUUUAGUCAAGUUGCAAAGGAUUCUAGGAGCCAUUCCUUGUGUUUCUGAGUUCGUUAUCACAACUUGAAGGUCACCUCUCCUUCACUUGAAACAGCGGUGCCCACAUAUUUCACCUUUAUUUCCAUAAAGAUAACAUGAACUGCCCCUUAGAGAUGUUCUGCAAACACUUUCAUCACUGAUCACGGCCCAAGGAAACAAAAGGAAGAUGGAUUUUAACCUUCUAAUGAUGCCUAAAGGGGAAAACCCAAGAGGUUCAUAAAAAUAGAAAAGUUGAAGAAGCGAGGGAAAGAGACAAGCAGUUAAAUGAGGGAAACAUUCAAAUCAGAGGCUGUCCCUGUCUUCAGGCAUCUCAGUAAGAAAUUGUGUGAGCCACCUCAAGGCAUCGAGCCCAGGGCCUUCUUGUGUACUGGGUGCUCAUUGGAGUCGGGCAGCCACUGGAGGCCAGCUGAGUCUCAGAAGGAGUCCAGGACAUAGCCCCCCUGCCACCCCGGAUGUGAUCUCACCUGAUGGCCAAAGGCUGCCAGACACCUUGAGAUGGUCUAAGCCACUAUCUCAUCCUAAAGUAGGGAGGACUAACCUGCAGGAGGCCUGCUCCAAGUGCCUCUAAAGCUAGGACAGAGUCUGUGUCAACAGCAACACAAGAGUUCUACAGGGAAUCUCAGUGGCAGGAAUAGAAGCAGGACACAGCCAUGAUCCACAGGUGAAAGAGGAAGGGAGGAGGGGCCAAAGUUGAUGGUGAUGACGACGAUGAUGACGACGAUGACAACAACAACAAUAAAGCUGGGGAGAUGGGGGAGCUUUGAAUUCUGAAAGUUACCCUAUAUGUCAUUCUCAAUGCUGUCCCCACCGCCGGCAUGGCUUGGGUCUUGAGUGCUGAGGAAGGGCUAAAGUAGUUUCUCAUUGAGUUCUCACAGGAUUGCUUCCUGCAAAGGCCUAGGCUUAGCAAGGUAAAACCCGGAACCCAAAUAAAUGUAUGUGUUCAAAAUAGGCAGCACAAAGAGCUGACUCACUAGUGUUGUGAAGUGAUUAGCAGGAUGGAUUGACGCACCCUCCGCUGUUCCUGGUUCCCUCGGAUGCUGGUGACAAUUAAGAUGGCCCCCUCCACACAGUGCAGUGGUAUCUGCAGUCACUGCUAGGUCAUCAUCAGAUAGUGCAGAUCUCUAGAGCUUGGUUCUCUUGGGUUUCUGCCUUCUAACCAACAUUCCCUUUAUCUUCCUGACUCGGAGACCUACUGGGGUGCUUCCUGCUGCUAUGAGUUUGAUUUUGGUGGUUGUUGUUGUUUAAAUGCCACAGACGCACAGCAGGGUCGUCGAGUAUUAAAUCUGCCCGUUUUAUUCCUUGUAAAAGUUUGAACACUGGGGAUAUCAUAAAGAUCCAAGUGUCAAAGACCUGGUCUCCUAGAUGUCCAUAUCAAAAGUGCAGGGACUUCUAUGAGGUAAGGCUUUGUGGGAGAUGCUCAGGUCAUUGGGUGUGUACCCUCCAAUGUAGUCAGACAACACCAGUCUAUUCGUCUCUCCAUUCCAUGACUCAUGACUGAAGUGUUUCUGCUCCUAUCACACACUCGUGACUUUUCCUCCCUCUGUGUUUGUCUUUCUUUAUUUGAAUUAUCGGAGAUCAAACUUAGGGUCUUCUAGAUGGCAUGCAAGGGCUCGUCAGCUGAGCUAUACUACCUGACGCUAGUCUCAGAGCAUUGGGAGCAAAUGGUCACGUGCAAGAAUAUCCAAAGCUAUAAAAGUAAUGGUUUUCUUGUUGUAAAUCGGUGAUUAUAUCAGCUAAGUAAUUAUAGUCACAGAGAGCUUGGCCUAGUGCCCUUCAGAUUCAUCCAUGCUGUAGUAAGUACCAGGACUCUCUUCUUUGAGGCUACUAUUCCUGGUAUACAGUGCAUCUUCCUCAUCAGAUCACCCAUCGAUGGACACGUAGGCUGAUACCAUUCCCUGCCUUUCAUCAAUAAUGCUGCAAUGGACAUGCCCAUGACCAGUCUAUCCCGAUGAUUUCCUUUGUCCAUGUUGUUUAGAUAAGGGAUUACCAGAUUACAAAGUAAUUUGGGACCUUCUAUGCUAUUUUGAAUAAUGAUACCAUUUUCCAUUCCUACCUACAGUGUCUAGGGUUCUCCCCCCACCCCCACCACAUUCCUGUCAUUCUCUGAACUAGGUUUUCGAGGGACAUUCAGGAGCUUGCUUGAUCCAAAGGGAAUCCCAGGAGGAUGAGACUUUGGGCCUGGCACAGGCUAAUGAAAACCACCAGCCCUACAUCCACUGCUUACAGGAAGAAACAAAACUGGUGAGCUGUGAACAGAGCCCCAAAGUAAUGGCCCAAUUUACCUUUGAAAUAUAAUAAAAUGUCUUUUAAGCAGGAGAUUAGAGACUUUCUUGGCAUAAUCCACAGCACAGGACAGCUCUGGAGUAAAUUUACACCCUGUCCUUCCCGCUCCCCACCCCCCUCCUUUGGUGUUCCAUUAUCAAUCUCUCAGCGGGGCUGGGAUUUCAGCAGAAUUGGAAAUAACAGCAUUCUGCAAAUCCCUGCGCGGUCCUGCUGUCCCCCCUUCUCCCCCAUCACACGCGGAUGCCUCUGAGCUGUUGCAGAUUAAAGGUAAUUCUCGGUCAUUACUGGUGUCAUUUAUCACCCUCCCUGCGUGUUUCUUUUGUGCAAACCUUGAGGAAGCCUCACUCAUUUGUGGAAGUUCAGACUCUAAGUGGAGAAUGAAGCUGUGGCCUUUUUUCCUUCUUUUUCUCUUUCCUGGGCAGUACUUCUAGGUGUUUCUUAGGAUACAGCCCCUUCCACUGCUGCGACGAUGACAGCCAGGGCCAAGCUUGUCAGGAGACAAAAGACAAGGCCAUCUAUCACCAUCAUUUGGAAAUCUCAUCUAGCGAAGGAUUUAUGAUCUGCUGGGGUUCAGAGGAGAUUAAAAGAAAACAAAACAGAGGUUGAAUAAAGAAUGUCUGCUGGCACAUGAAGACGAGAGGGAUUUCAGAGGAGACCCGAGGUGAUUGGCAUGCAGUCAGACGUGCCACAUGACCCAGGACACUGUGCCACACCGGCGUGGUCGGGGAGAGUUGGAGACUGCUAAGUGGCAUGGUUGUGCCAUUUGAAGAGCGGCCCACCUCCGGAACAUCUGAUGUGGACAGGAGAGAGGGGCAUGCAUACAGAACUGUGGAACCAGACUCUUAUGGUCAACAAGCUAUCCUAUAGGCUAGACACAAUGACAGCCUCGUGCCUCAGCCUUCCUGGUUUUCCAUGAAGGGGUUGGUUGUUAUGAUCUUAAUUCAAGAUGUAAACCUAGAACUCCCUCCCCGUUAGAAAGUAACCAACAUUCAGUAAAUGCUAGGCUGGCCUCCCAAAAGCCACCAGUGACCCACUCUCAUUGAACUGUCAAGAAGGGUAGAGAAGUUACCAAGACUAUUUACAAUAGCCUCAGUACAGGGGUGCUGCUGGAAUGUGUUAUUGCCACACAUGUCGCCAUGCCAACAGCAUCUCUCUAGUCAUCCUAGCCGUUCCAGAGAGCCAGGUCUUAAACUGGACGGGUGAAACCUCUGUCUUAACUGGUUAUCAGACUGGUGGCUUAAGGGACACUUUGUAACCUAUAAAUGUACUGGUUUUGCCUGAGUGGAAUUUAGAAAUGACUCAGCUGCAUAGCUCACUACAACUUGUGCUUCUUUUAAAUGACACACACACGGGGCUUGCCUUAGAGAAUUGAUACAAGUUCACCUCACCUAGUGCCUACAGUUUUGUACGGUGACUCUCGGGGGGGACUGAACAACAGAACCCACCUCUUCUAAAUGUGGACCAAAUACGUCCCAGAUUUCCCCAGUGGCUUAGCAGGCUUCUUACAUCCACUGUAGCUUGUCUGAAUCUUCUAGGGACUUAAGAUUCUUGUCUCUUCUUAUAGGUUCCCUUGGGUGAUGCACCUCCCAGAUACAGUUUCUUCCUCUUACAAUGUAAUUUGAUGAGAUACACCCCUCCACAGCUCCUUCUGGGACCAACACCCCCCCCCCUCCGCCCCCAGCUACCCAAUGGAGCCUCUCUUAAAAAUCCACCAAGUCCAGUCUCUGCUGCCCACAUACUCUUGGCUAUGUGGCCUUCACUGGAGGGUGGUCCACUCACCGGGGGUUGCCCUCUUGAAGAAAACUGAUAUGCCCCCUUUAGCAAUUAUUACUUCCCAAUAGCUGCUGAGAUGGGGGUGGGCGCUCAUGCCCUCUUCUCCUCUCUAGGCUGGAUUUUUGUUUUGCGUGAGCUUGUACAGACCUUGCACGUGACGCCUCAGCUGCUGUGAAUCCACACGUGCAACUGCACCACGGUAUCCCCAAGACACUGUUUUCCUGUCGCUAACUCCUGCUCUGAUCUUCUUACAAGCUCCCUUCCCCUUUUAGUGCAUCUGUCAACCCUCCCUAGAGAGAAGCUUCCCUUGGCAGUCGACAGUGAUCCACACAGACACCCACAACUGCUCAAGGUACAGAGAGUCAGAGACUCUGCAGUGCUUGGUCUGAAGGAGACAUCUUUGGUCUUACAACCUCUCCUCCCAAGGCACAGGCGUCCUCAGGGAAGAAGAGCUGGGAAGAACGUAAGAGUCAGAUGCAUAUUUUAAAGCUCCAAACUGGUCCAAGGAGGCGCUCCUGCUGGUAAAAUGCGCACCUGCGAGUGGCCCUACUGUGUGCAGAACUUCCAGGAGAACCACAGGUUUGCUCUAAAUCUUACAAAAAAUGCUUCUUGCUUUAUUGGCUUCGUGAGGGACAGGGAAAGCCCAUACUCGCUCUUCCUCAGGUUACAGCUAUGUCAGGGAGGUACCAUGAGUCAUGAGUAAGUUACUCGGGUGUGGAAAAUGAAAGACUCUGAUUAGGAGGAUGCUUGUGAACAGAUGACAAAUGUAGAGGGUGACGUCAUUGCAGUCAAAGUCUCCAUAUUUACAAACAUAUGCACUUACUCUAUCAUUUCACUACCUAAACUCUCCUCACCUUUGUCACUUUUCUCACAUAGAAAGCCACUUACUUAUAGCUCUGGUGGCAUCACUGAGAGCAUUAAGGUAACAUCCAUUGUCAAGACACUUUACUGCCAUCUGCUGGUAGAAACAUGCCAUUACUCACUACAUACUCUGGCUAAGAUGUGAAUGGUACCCCAUCCAUCAGCUCUGAUUUGGACAAUGUCUGACCACUCCCAACAACCUGUGAGCUCUGAGCAUCUCCACGAGGGGGAGCAGCGGAAAGCGGUUGCUACGUUGUUUUGAAGAAAGAAGUUUAAGGAUAACUUUAAUACUCAAAAGAGAGUGGAGUUUCUGCGAAUUAAUUAUCUCUUUCCCCAGAGCACUUUAUUCCUUUCUGUGGUUGUGAAAACCAGGCUUUGAAUUCUAUUCUGACCUGACUGUGCUAGAAGGGACAUGGGGAUGCUAUGUCGUCGUAAAUGUUUGAUAUGACUAUGAUUUUACUGCUCCCCAUAUCUGCCAGAACCAGCUUCUUCAGCCGACAGUGAAGAAAACAGAGAAUGCCUACCAGCAAGGCUUGUAUUACUGUCAGGGGGAAUGCUUGAUACAGCACAAUCAACAGCGAUAUUAACUGCUGUUGACUCCGGAGGUGAUAUUAAUUAUUGAUGCCGUUCCUGUGAUCUCACGUUCUUCCCAAUGUGCAGAGACAUUGUUACUCUAGUUUCCCAUCUUACAAUCACCAUUAUUGAGACGUUUCUAUGUCACAGAGGUAGACCAGAGUCUGAGUCUGCAACUCUGCGAACAGGUACCCUGUGGCCAAGGGCGGAGCCAGUGCCAGGCUUAAACUAGUUAAGAUAGUCUGCUUUCACACUUGAACUGGGCCUGAUGGCUCCCUGGACCCUUGAAGUCUUAUGGAGGUCUGUUGAUGAUAUUGUCAUAAUGCCAUAAAGGAAAUGGAAAUCAUAGAGUAAUGACACAGAGAAUGGCUUCUUGGUCCUCUAUCUACAUCACUGUCCUACUGACGUCAUGGCGACUUCAACAGGAGAAACGCACUGGCUAAGAGAAUCCGCUUCGGGAACUAGCUGAGUUGCUGACCGCAGAAGGGCACAGCGCAUGUGCAGAAGACCCUUACGCGCCAGAGAGGUCUCUGCUCAAAGCACAGUGCUGACAGAGCACGCAGCCCAAGCCUUUUCUUCCUAGCAUCUGUUUAUACAAAUUCUGACCAGGUGGCAAACUCUUCCCCUCUGCUCUCAAGCAACAGGAUGCAGGACAGAGAACACCUGUUCCAAAACUGCUCUGAUUAGCUGGAAGCUGGCAGGUAUAGCAAGGGCUGAGGGCCACUCGGCAGGAGAGGAUCCUGCUGCCUUGUCAGCCCUUGGCUCUGCUCCUGAUCUUGGCUGUAGUCCCUGUCGGUGGCUAAUGGGAUUGAUCCACGGGCAUAAAUCUUUAAACUCCUGCUGGCAAGUGCGACGUUAUCUUAUCCAAGGCCACCACAGUGUGCCACUGCUAUCUAAAAGCAAAUGUUUCCAACUUGAGGAAGAUACUGGAGGUGCAGGUAGGGGUGUGAUGCCCUCCGCUCUCACACAGCUUCCGGGGAAAGUGUGUCAUUCAGGUGAUUGUGCAUGCACACGUGAGUGGACGUCUUUCAUGAUUUAUGUAUGCGAGUUUGCUUAGAGAAGGUAAUGAUAACCAAGUCAGCACGUGCUGGUUGGAGAAAUAGAAGCAACACUCCCAGGGGAAACUUAGGGGAGCAAUAAAUAGAGGGGGAGGUGAAGAACACUGUGGGAGAGUAUCCUAGACAAGGGAGUGUGUGCAGGACGGAGGAGACCGAAGCUCCAUGAAGAAGGAACAACAUGGGAGAUUGGAGAUGGGGUCUGAAGGGAAAGGACAGAGCUCAGGGAAGAAGGGACAGAAGAGCCGAAGUGGGAGGAGUGGGUGAGAAGCUGGUGUGUCGUUGAAAAGCCCCAUCAGGACAGCCCACUGCAGCAUGCAUGCACUGGACACUCCUUAGGGUGUCUCAGCCAUGGUCCCUCAACCCAACAGGCACACACAUUUCGGCCGGCCCUUUUAGGUUUCUAAGGAUAGAAAACUCUCACACAGAAUGCUGUCAUGUUAGUAUCUGCUUGCUGAUACUAAAGCACUGAUCUAAACUUGACUCACAACAGUGAUAAGAGGGAAAUUCUAGAUUUUGUUGUUGUUGUUGUUGUUGUUAUUUACAGACAUAAAAGUCAAAGGGCAGCAUGAACCUAAGUCAGAGAUAGAAUAUAGUCAGUGUGGUUAAGAAACUUAGAAAAUAAUUAUAGAAUGUUAGAGCCAAGGAAGGGAUAUUUGGAAGCUUGCAACCAACGGAGUUUGGUGUGUGCUCAAAACUGCUCAGGAAAUGAAGGUUUCUGUGAAUCUUCUAAUUUCAAUGGUUCUUAAAUCACACUCCCUGUGAUUUGAGGUUGCUCUGGGUUUUGUACAGCAACUCUGUAACUCUAAACUGAAGAGUCCACCCAUUGUGAAUGUGAACAUGAACGUAAGUCUAAUUUAUUAAGCAGGUGUUAUGCUCUGUGAACAGUUGUGAAUGGAUGGAUGCAGGGAUGAGCAGUAUAUUAAGAAAAAUACAAAUGGAAUGACUUGACCUUUCAUCAUCGAGAGCAGAAGGACCGAUGCUUAAAGAUGUAUUUAUUUUUAUUUUAGGCGCACAAACGAUGUGCCAGCAGGAGUGUCUGUGCAGCACAUGUAUCCUCCGCCUAUGAGACCAGAAAAGGGAAGCAGAUCCCUUGGAGCUGAUGUUACAGACCGUCCUGUGCUGCCACGAGGGUGCUGGGAACCAAACUCGGUCCUCUACAUGAAUAUCAAGUACUCUUAACUGUUAAGCCAUCUCUCCAAAACCCGGGACUGAAAUUUAAAGGGUAGAGAAAAAAAAAAAAACCAAAAAAACCAAAAAAACAGUUUUCUCUUCCUCCUUCCCUAUGUCCUAUUUUCUUCGCAUCAAGAGAAGGAUAAAAAUAGCCCUGGCCUUUUGCUGACUUCUGAGGGAUGUGGGAACGGAUAAAUGCGUUCGGGUGUGUCAAGCUCCUGAAGUUCCUUAGGGAGAAGCCACAGGUUUUAAUGUCAUAAUAACAAGCUACUUGUUAAGCUGUUGCUCCUCUAAACAUAUCAUAAGUAUCUUCAAACCAAGGUUGGAGCAGGUCACGUGCCCAAUAGCAAACUUCUGCCAGCUCACCUGGCUCUUAGCCUGGUGCUUCUCUGGGGCUCAGUGUGGGCUAAUACUGAAUCUGAGUUUAUUUAGGUUGAGUGGUUUGAGCUGGAGGUGUGAUGUCUUCCUGCAGGGAACUGAAUAGGAGCAGGGAUGGCCCUGACGCCAUCUUCCUCUGUCUACUAGACUCCAGGAGAGAGGGGGCGGGGUAGGGAGAGGAAAACAGUGGAUAUCAAGCUUUUCCAAGCUUGUAACACUUUUUUUUUUGUAGGAAGUAACACCACAUUUCUCAUGCAUGUCUCCAUGGAAAAACGUAUUGUUCUGAUUAGAAAACACACAUCAAGGUCCCCACCUCAAUAAAGAGAAGUAAAAUAAAAAUAAAAGCUUAUUCAUUCUCUUAAUAUUGAUCCAGACAAUAUAUCUAGAUUUGCCUGGAUUCUAGAUGUAGAAAGGUCUUCUCUACAUAGAGUUAAAUACAGAAAAGAAUAUGAAAAGUAAUGUUUUCUGCAAUAUGUAAAAUAUUAAGCACUGGAAAAAAAAGAAAGACACUGAUAAAUGGGACCUUGCAGUCUCAUGAUAUCGGUCAGAUUUUUAAAAAGUCAUCAUACCGCCAUUGCGUACCUGGGCUUGAACACGCACUGGGAAGAACACAGCAGAAGUAAGACAUACGUGAGCAAAGAAACUAAAACCGUAACUUCACACAAGUUAGAAGCCAGGCUGUACCUAUGUACAAUAGCAUUUUUUAAUAUAUGAACACACCAUAUGCUUUUAAAAUAUCAAGUAUAUGAAGCUGCAUUUGUGCGGAGCCAUAUUCUCAUUUCCGUUCAGGACACCACCCUUUGGAAGUUCCCUUCUCCCAGAUUCUGCGCAGCUUAAUUUCUCCUUCCCGGGAUGGUUCUGUUUCAACUGUCUUCACUUUAUCAACUUAGACCAAAAAAAAAAAAAAACCCUGCUAGUCUCUGAAGUGAAACUUCAGGAAGCAUUUUGUCCUCUAGAUGGGACCUUGUCCUCAUUAGAAUUGGGAAAAGAAAAUGUAUUAGCUACUUCGCUCUUUGCUGUGACCAAACCCUGGUCACAAAGCAGCUUAAAGGAGGAGAAGAUACUUUGGUUCAAGGUUGGAAAGGAUCUGGUCCGUCAUGAUAAAGAACGCUUGGAAGCAGGGGCGCCAUGGUCGCCAGGAAACAGUCUCGAGGGCUGGUUCUCGGCUGGCUUUCUCCUUUCCCCCUUUGUUUCAGCCUGGGGCCCCAGGCCAUGGCCUGGUUCUACUCAGAUUCAGGGCUGGAAAAGCCCCUCUCUCUCUCACACACACAUACACCUAACGGUGUGCCUCCCUCAUCAAUACCUCAGGUAUCCAAGUUGACAAUCAAACUCAGUUACCACAGGAAAUACGCAGCUUUGCUUCGAGGGAGUUCCUUUAACGCAUUGAGUAUUGUUUCUCCAUCCUUGGCUCCAGAGCAGCCUUCUACCUUGUCCUACAGGAGUGAAAUCUGACUUUUGUAGAUGCUUAGGAAAUUCAAGAUAGACUACACAAACACACUAUUCACAUCCUCUAUUGUUACCAUGAUAAACUUAAUUAUUUAUUUCUUUGAUUUUUUGUUUUGUUUUGUUUUGUUUUUCAAGACAGGGUUUCUCUGUGUAGUCCUGGCUGUCCUCAAACUCAGAAGUCCGCCUGCCUCUGCCUCCCAAGUGCUGGGAUUAAAGGCAUGCACCACCACUGCCUGGCAUCUUUGAAUUUUUAAGGCACAGUAUUUGGAGCGUGACGGCCUGGGGUGAGACCACAGAACACAUAUUUCUACUCUGUGACUAUGAAUACAUGCAGGUCUUUGUGAGCCAGGAACAUUGUAACACCUGUCUUUGAGUUUUUUGAGGGUAGCUUUGUGCCCUUCAGGUAGCCCUGCAAAUGGUAGCUAUUACAUAAUGAUCGCUUUCUUCCUGUCUCCGUCUUAUCAUAGUAUGUGUCAGGACCACAUCACAUUAGAACAUCAUAGGUCUACAUAAGCCAGCUCUCCCUGAUUCAGGAGCACUUCCCUUGGAACACUUGAGCAUCGAGUAUAGAAAGAUAAGAAGCCAUCCUUACAGACUUAGGAGAAACUGGGGAAAGGAGAGGAAUACGAUCAAAAUAUGUUGCAUGAAACUCCCAAAGAAUUAAUAAGAAUACUAUUUUUGAAAGGAAAGAAACUGUCUUUAUUCUUUAAGUAAGAAUGUGAGUCCAGUGUCGAUGGUAGAUAUGGAUGCUCAUGGUGCAGGAGCGGAGAAAGGAAACCCUGAUGACCGCUGGGUGGUUUGAUGGCAUUUUAUUCUCCUGGUCCCAGACGAGGAACAAUAGAGAGGUGUGACAGAAGGCAGAUGGUAAACAUAGGUGCUGGCGAAAGCCUUGGGUCAGACAGAUUUGUGUUGUCAGUAUUAUAAACUCUCCUCAACAACUGCAGCCCUUUGUAGAAAGCCUGGGCCUUUAGGACAGAGGGUGUGAAGGAGUCAAAAGAGGAGGACCGAGGGCUGAGUAUUGUUCCGUAGCCGAGAAAAUCUGUUCAUCCAUUUCCUGAGAAAGGCAAGGUAGCAGGGAGGGUCAGAAAGUAUCUCCCUUCUUGUCCCAGGAUGUCAGCACACAGUACUGAUGAUCACGGGAUGUGAGUCUAUAGUCCAGGCUGUGGUCAGAGUGUAAGAGACAGGGAAGGGCUCCUGGAGAUGCUUCACGGGGACAGAUAGGAAAGAUAGGGAGGGAGAAACUGAAGGACGCUUUAGGCAUCUCUACAGGCAGAAGAAGAGCCAAAGCCGGUACUGUAAGCUUGGACGAAAGGUGCUUUGAUGCCGCUGGUGUUUUAAAUUCAAGAAUUCAAAGUGGAAGUGGCAAGGGCCCCAAUUCUGGGUAGAUAGGCAAGAGAGGAGAGGGUAUCCAGGGUUCCUGGGGCUGUGUCUUUGGCAACGGGAAAUAUUAAAAGCUUUGAGCAGUGUUUUCUAUUGUUUGUGUGGCCGAGAAGAGGAAAGGAGAGAAUUAAAUAAUGAAGAUAUUCUAGUAAUUCAGAUGUAGAUGGCAGGGGCUUGAGUCAGGAUUGCCAUGUCAAAACCUAAAAACGUGGAUGGAUGUGAGAAGCGCUCUGGAGGUCCCACGGCCUAACUGAGGAAGCGCCUGCUGCUAACUGGGGUUUCCUGCCUCUUUCUGAGUUGUGCUGAACCACCUGUGUGGUCAUUUGCUAGGCACCAUGCUAUGCACUGGUCGACAGGUUCAUUCGAAGAGUAAUCCCAUGAGGGCAGGUAACUGGGAAUUCUUAGUAAAGAAGAAACUGAGGUAUGGAGGGAGCAUGUCUAUGAUCAUUCAGUGAGUAGCUGAGGAUGGUUAGAAAUCACAUUUAGACAGCCUGACUCCAAAAUGCUUGCAACUAACUAACUAACUAACUAACUAACUAACUAACUAACAACUAACUACAGGUCUUCAUGCGAACCUGUGCCGGUACUCCUCAGUACCAUUCCGUUGUUAGCGCUGAUGCUCUGAGCUCUCCUGCCUUUCUGCUUCCUUCCUCCUCUCAUUCUGUCAACGCCUCUCCACCAUGGCUGGUUCUGGGGCUUUUCUAUGGCUCAGAUCCUGAGCCACGCACCUUCAUAAUACAUUUUUAUCUUGUUUUAUUCUGUCAAAAAGAAACAUAUGGACAAGACAGGAGAUCCAAACAAUCUAGAUGGGAAGACAGUACAAGGUAGACCUUCCUGGCAUCAUUUCUCCAAAGGGAAUUAUUGUUAUUUGAUAAAACACUGAGCUAAAGAGAUACAAGGUCAAGGAGCACAUACUAUUUAGGUGACUAACAGAAGGCCUUCCCAUCUUCACUUUCUUCCUUCUCCACAUUUUCCCUUUUACCCAUAAUACAGUGUUCCAGAGUUAAUCACAUAAUUAAUUCAAGUUGUUUCAUAAGUGUUGGCUUAUAUCAUUGGAUACAAUGAUUUUCCAUAUUCAGCCUAAUACUAGACACAUAGUAGGUGUUCAAUAACUACCCGCUGAUUAAUUGAUGCUGAUUAAUUAAACCUUGAAUCAAUUCAUACUAGCUUAACUGACAUGGUUCAUGCAAACCUUGAAUAGAGGCCCUUCUCGUCCCUCUUUUACAUGGUUAGUUCUGCAAUAGCAUCUACCUAAUUGGUCAUAUGUCUCUUUUUAGAACUCUGUAAGAGCAGCGGGAAAAGCUACUGUAAUAGACGCUGACAUUCUAGUAACAACGCCACUAAAAAUCUAAUGCUGAAGCUAUUCAAGUCUCAUUGCGCUGGUCAUGCAACACAAAUUUGAGGAGAGUGGCUAUACAUGAUGGGAACAGACAGGGCAGAGCCCUCCUCCUGCUUGGCCCUAACAAGAUAUUAUUUCUGUCACUUCUACCUAUUUAUGUGAGGCUAUAUACUCAUAAGAGCCAAAUAUUAAAUGCUGGCUUUCUUCCAUUCCUAAUAUUACAUUACAAUGUGACCAUCAGACACUUGUAACUCACUCUUCAGGCAGAUGCAUCUCAAGCAAUCUGUCAGCGAAGGAGAAGGACCGACUGCUUCUUCACACCGUGGUGCAACAAUGCUUUUAUUUACUAAUGAUGCAGAGUCACAUGUUCUUCUUCGGAUUUGGCACCUCUUCUGCUGAACUAAUUUCUCUUUUGUUCUCCUGACACUUUCCAGUCCUGGAUUAAAAUGCCUAGGGUUCUGCUUCCAGGGCAGUAAGUUUUGAUCUUUAUUUAUAACGGCAGCCAAAGUUCCGGGAAAGAGUUCAUGAGGGCUUCAUGCGUCUUAUAAACUCCAAGAAAACUUGCAUUUCAGAGAAGGUGGGUAUCCAGUUACUAGGGAAUGGGUUACAAAAUGUGACCAGCGUAGAGAUGGGGCAAUAAAUACAAGCUCAACUAAUAGUCACCAUAGCGAAACAAAGAGGUGGCAGUGUGACAGACAUUCAUGACCCAUUCAAAAGCAAAGGACAGCAUAGGUGGUGGAAAAGGACAACUUCUUCCCUAUACAAGCCAGUGAAUCAUUCUGUUUAACAAGUGGACUAGGAGAGGUGAAGGGUCUCCACUGAGGUCAAUAAAAAGUAAGUUUGCAACUAGGGAAGAAAAUAGUUGACCCUAAGUAGCAUUGUGAAAAAAUGAUCUUGGAAGAGUCUUGUUCGCUUCUAUCCCUUUAAAAAGAGAGACCAUGAGAUGACUGCAGUGUGAUCGAGAAUAUCUGUAGCAUUGUGUCCUGUGUGGGCUGCGGAAUAAACAAAUUGUCUCAUCAUAGAUGCAGUAGUGAGUAGGUUAUUUAAUUACAUCGCUGGGCUGUGACUUCCCGGGUGCCCCCCACCCCCACCACAACAGUGUAGGAAGAAAGCAGAGACAUACUAGCUCGAGGUAGUGGGGAAGAGAAGAGAAGAAAGUGGAGCAGGAGGCAUUCCGAGGCAUAAGCAAAGGUAGAGAGCACCUUGACCAGGGAUGACAAACUGUGAAUGUGGACGUGAACCUGAGCAGAACCAAGAGCCUACAGCCAGACGUUGGUCAUGUGUGUAUAUGCCCAAAGCUGUGUAAAUGGGUAUGAGUGUGUGUUGUGGCAAGAAGACAUCUGACAUUAAAGGAGAGCUGGGAGUCUGGAAAGCCCUCUACAGAACCCGGACCUUAGCGUGAAGGUAAGACACUACAGGAAGCCUUUAAGGUAUAGAAGUGGCAUGGGAAUCCUCGUGAGGUCAGAAUGGAGGAUGACUUUGGGAAGGAGCAGAAGGAGUUCAGCCAGGAAAUAGUUCCUGUGCUCAGUGGUGAGGACCCGAACAAGAGGGGUCAGCGGUGAGCAGGAGAGGAGUGGAGACUAGAGCAAUCUGAACUGCAGGGGACGGACAGGACUGGUGACUGCAGGGUAGGUGACCAAUAGAUGUGUGAAAGGAACAUAGGAGAAUCUGGGCUGUUAGUUUGAUGGUUACUCGGGAUUGUCAACGUGAUUGAAUGCAGAUCCACCUAGCACAGGAUGCCUCUGAGCAUGUCAGUGGGCUAGGAAGAUCCAUUCAGGAAGUUGGCAGCGCCACCCCUGGACUGUUGUCCUGGACUGAUCAGAAAGAAGAAAACCUGUAAAAGGCCCAGAUUCAUCUCUCUCUGCUUAACUACACUUGCGUUAUGCUCCUAAAAACACAGCCAAGAUCUCUUCACUUCAUUUCUCCUCCACAAUGGACUGUAGCCCCAAACUCCGAACCCAAACAAAAUAAACUCUGCCUCACUUGUAUCACUUCUGUGAGAUAUUUUCCAAUGAGAAAAGAAAUAAUAUGAGUGCCAUGCUUGGGCGAGUGGUGAAUGAUAGGGCUGUUAAAGCCAGGAUUCAGAUAGAUGCAGAGAAACAUUUAAAACCAGGCCACAGCUUUUGACACAAAAAAACACCUGACUGGACAUGCCAGUGUCUCACUCUGUAGCUCAGGCUGGUAGGGAAUUCAUUAUGUUGCCUACUAGCCUUAAACUGGCAAUGAUCCUCCUGCCUCAGCCUCCCAAGUGCUGGGCUUACAAGCAUGGGCCCCCAUGCCCAGCUCCCAUGCUUUGCGAGGUCUUUUUAUUUAUCACCUAUUAAAAUAAGUGUACAGAUCCGCAGUAAUAUAGUAAUACCAAUUAUUAACCCUAUAUUAUUUGCUUAUACUAUGUAACACUUAUGUAAUUGUUACUGAUUACUACUCACUCAGCAUACAAAGGAGAGUUAGAAAACUCUCCUAGCAACAGCUGCAGUUUAGAAAUCCUAACUUGGGGCUCAAAAGCCCUGCAUUCGGGAGUCUCCAAGAGCCUGGGACUUUGGGGACAAAGCAGAGCAGACUUGGGCAGCUUAUGCACAAAGCUGCCAGGUGCUUGGGCUUAUUUCCUCUUAAUAAAAAAUUUAAAACAAGCCUUAAAAGGUUAUGGUUUAUUGGUUUUAAAUCCUACAGAGUAAGCAUUUCACGGUUUGAAGCAUUGAUUUUUUUUUCCUUAACUCAGUAGACGAACUGCGUAAAAUGAAAGCGCUUUUUAAUUGCAUUUGUUAUAGUUAUACUGUAUGAAAAUGCAGGGUAAGGUCAUUUUGGAAUCUUAGGAUACAAAGGAAAAAGGAAACAAUGUUGCAAUGUUCUCCCUGGCCGUCAUUCACUUAUUCACUGCUCUGUGCAAUUCUUCAACGGCUUCUUCAUGUCAAGGGCUCUUUGAGGUGAUGGACGUGUCACAAAGACCUUCAUGGCGAUGACUAGUUAGACAAGAUAUCUGGACAAUGCAAAUGGGAUCAGCAUCCUGAAACUUAUCAGGAUGACUGUAAGAUGGGAUGGCCGAGUGUAUAACACAGAUGGCAGUGUGGCUGGAGUUCAAAGACAGGGCGAGGCCUGGGAAGGUGGAGGAUCUGGAGCAGGAAUGGGAGGAAGUUCACUGGUAGGAUGGUCGGUGCAUCUUUAUGUAGGACUAUGAUGACAGGCAAGAUCUGGGUGCCUCUCUGAAAACCUCUUUAGGAUAGAUCCCCCCCUUUGACAUUACUGUGCUGCAGGACAGAAUUGUGUGCAAGGCUCUUGGUACAAACGCACAGGGUGUUCUGGGAGGAAAUGGUCCUCAUUUGGGAUGCGGGCGUAGGCGUUGUGUGGAGUACUUGGGUGGGGAUACUGAGCACUCUAAAUAGAUGAAAGCAUUUCUCAUAAUAAUUCUCAUGAUUAUGGUUUGCAGUCCUCCGACGGUUUUGGUGCUGAGUAUUUCAUGAGUUAUCAUUUGUAUUGGUUCUUGGUGUAUGUGUAUACAUGUGCCUGUGUUUGCAUAGGCUUUGCCACCUGCCUGGUCCUGUCUAAAUUCCCGGGUAGCAACCAACAUAAUCCCACCUUUAGAUCCUUAGCUUGGCUUUAGAUCCUUGACCUUAGAGUUCCCAUUCCAGCCUGUGUGAAAUUUGUCUCCUGAGUUCAGAUCUUCCGAAUAAGUCUCUCCAUUUGUGCUUCAGUUUCUCUUAAGAAGAAAGUCUUGCUUGUCCUCCAUCUUAAUUACAAAUAUAAGCAACAUUUCUUUUUAAAAAACAGCAGCACAAAGGCUUGUCACUUCCCCGCCCGAGCCAACCAUUGACUGAAAGGUCAAAGGUUCUGUGGGCUUCCUCUGGUCUUUUUAGAGACCAAUGAUGUCCUGAGGAAAUCUCUCAAUUCGGUAACUAGGGGAAGAGAUGCUGACGACCCACUCCCUCUGCAUCCUUCCCUCAUUUGUCUCAAUUUACAUAAUUGAAACCUCUUAAAUAUCCUUAUCAUCCGAUCACCUAUGACAUUCCCUUUCCUGCCUCUCUAAUUCUCUAUAUUGAAAAUGUAAGUGCUUUCUUUUCAAGAGCAAGCAUCUAUUGAUAUUACAAUAUCAUCUUUUGCUGUUAGACUUCAAAAUAAAAAAGGGAAUUGUUACUGAUAUCAAAAGUCCCCCUGAAACAGUGUACGGCAUCAGGUUAAAACAAAGAAAGCUGGCCUGCUCUAAUUACUUGCAGUACUGAAUGUUAAGGGACGGUCCCAUUUGCCUGGGAGAGGUUGCCGGCGAUGUUUAAGAUGAAAUAGAAGAGAGAAGCACACAGCAAGGCAUUCUGUAACAAUGGAGCUCACUCACUGUCUAAAGGGCAUCUUCAGAGGACUCUGUAACUGCCCUUUGAAUAUUAAAGGUGAGCUGCGUUAUAUGAGCUCUGUGGCUCCCUGCGGAAAUGGCAUGUCACACGGUAGGGCACAGGGCUGACUCAAAGCUCUUUUACAUCAAUACUAGUAUGCCAGACCCCAACGACUAGCUAGGUGUCAAGUUAAAGGAAAUAAAACAAUUUAAAGAAAAAAAAUCUGGGUCCUGUCUAAAACGUAACCAUCUACAUUUUUGGCACUUAAGGGAGGAAGUAUUGUACUGUCCCAGGAAUUAUGCUAAGGGUUUAUGGUACGUCGCUGCUGUCAGUUUAUCCAGAAGUUGUAUUGAGAGAGUUUAAUUUGGAAUGCUUGUUCUUCCAGGUCAGGCCUUGGUAAGUCAUGGCUAAUUCAGUAUACUCCACUGCUGGUCAAAGACAUUGUUUAGCAAAUAAAACCAACUCUUCAAAUAUACAAACUUCAGUCUUAUCUACUCCUCCCCAAACGCAUCAAUCAAUAAAUAGCAUCUACAAUCCAUAGUUUGUCAGGCAGAAGAGCCGGUGGUGGGGCUAGGCAUGCUUUGAUGAAAGGACGGAGGUGGAGAGGGUGGGUCAACAGCACUAGAAAUUAAAGCAGUUUAUCAAGCAGGUGACAUAAGAGAAGAGUUUUGCAGUGUGCCUGCCUGUUGAGCUGGACGAACUUUUGGCCUGGAACCAAGGAUUUGUCUCUGGACCUCCCUGAUCACCACUCUCACUAAUGAAAUGGCUCGUAUGUAUCCGCGCAGCAACAUCAAACAGACUAAUCUUAGGAAGCGUGGUAAGGUUCCUGGGACAGAGGCAGGGAGAGGAAGCCAACAAAGUUGCUGGCUGAUCCCACCAAACUGGUAAGUGGACAGGGCCUCCUGGGGCAAGCUACAGGGCCCUAAAGAUCCAUGAAGAGUUUUCAUCUUGAGAUUUCACAAGAGUUUAAACAUUUCUUGGACAAUGAUAUCAUAGGUUUGAAGUUUAAAAAUCUGAUCUGAUUAUAUAUUUUACUUGAGAAUAUUAAGUGAACUGUGUUUACUUAUGUGUCUUGAAAAUAGACAUGUUUCUGUUUGGUGGAUAUCUCUGAUAGGCCUGAUUAAUUUUUUUUAAGGGUUAGGGUUAGGAGUUAGGGUUAAAGGGGAGAUAGAGGUACUGGGAGGAAUGAAAGUAGGAGAAACUGUGGUCAGGAUAUAAUGUAUGUAAAGAAUAAAAAUAAAAUAAAAUAAAACAAACAUGAUUCAAGUUCAUACAUGUGCAUAUCCUUGUUACUCUAUAUUCAAAGGAAAUCAAAACAGUGUGAUAGGUAAGUGGACACAAGACUAUAGAUAAAUGUAUUUAUGCAACUCAAAAAAAAAUUUGUGGACUUUCCACAAAGAGCAUCCACGAUUAGGUUACACUGAGGCUUCCAUUAUGUACAUGUAUGUAAAAUUGUAUGCUUAUGCAUUGUGAAGCCACAACAUAAAGUCUGUAUUUACUUUUGCUUUAAACAUCUGUCCUAAACUACAUUUAGUUGUAGCUGCCUCCCCCUACUGGAUAAAAAUGAUAUCUUUAAAAGUGAAAAACCUAUUUUUUUUUUCCCUUCAAGAUUUUGGCACAUGGAAUAAAGAUAAUUUUUAAAAUUUCUGACAUGUUAAUAUUUCCAAAGCCAGAGGGAAAUCAAGUUAAAAGGAAAAGAUAAUAAUUAUGAAUCAGAAUGGGGUGAAAAAAAUAGGUAAAACAUUUCCUGAGCAUUAUCUAAUAUUGAAAGGUCUUGAAAGAUUUCCCAAGUAUAUUUAUAAGUAUGAAAUGCUCACAUACAGGUAGUAAAUGUCUUCGGAUUCCAAAUGGUCCUUAUUAUGGUGAUGCAAUGGCAAGGGUCUAGGUAUGGUAUAUUCCUUACCCACAGUUCCCUGCACCAAAAUAGAUGACCAAAACUGACUCGAGCUGAUGGCAGGUCCUAUACACCCACAUCUAUCUCACUGGGUGUGAAGACUCAUACAGUCCACAGCAUUGAUUGAUUAAUUGUGUGAUUACAGACAGAACCAAUUAGUCAUGAGAUUCUAUGGAUUCCUGGACCCUUCUGGGAUUGGAGGUUGCAUAUUAUAAAUGCACAGGAAGUCCAAAUGGGGGAAAUGUGUUGUUGUGCAAAGGCCGGGAGCCCAGAGUGCCAUUCUGCAUUAGGGACAUCUGGUAAGUGGUGGUGAACAAGAACAAGACCAUUUCAAAAGAAUGCAAGUGUCAGAGUGCAGCCACAUCAAAAGCCUGGCCAGCUCAAAUACAGUAAGCGACUGGCUUAGGGAAAUACUUCUGUUUACAGUGAGCUGUAUUAGUUUUUAGGAAGUCUGUUUUCCAAGUUCUUAUCUGUCAUUGGAUACAAGUUAUAUUGGAUUUACAGUAAUGGGUAAAAUAAAAGCAUUCUUGUCAUUUUAUUCACAAGGAAACUGAGACUCAGUGUGACUUACUUGACCUGUACUUGAGCCCUGAUCUAGAAGGAACUACACUGCUGUCUUAAACAGUGUGGGGCAGAAGCUGAGGCACCUUGAGAAUAUCAGAAGGACAGAAGGGUGUGGCUAGACAACAGGUUCUCCUUAGCUGAAGGUAGGUACCAGACACACAAGUACAACCUCCACGUUAGAAUAGGAGGGUGACUUUAUGUCAAACAGCUAACUUUGUAAUGAUGUCCACAUGAAUUCACGGGCUGGGGGGAUACUGGCCUGUGCUGUUCACUGAGGCACUCCACACACACACACUACGCCCAGUUACACUGUGAACUCGUUAUUAUAAUGCAAAUUGAAUUAAGGAUGAGCCGAUCAGGAAGGAAAAGCCAUGAGCCCCAUUACCUUGGCUGCCUCUUGGAUGCUUUGUGCACCCCCCUAUUUUCUCCUCCAGAGCUGAACCAGGGCUGUGUCACCAUUUUAUAUCCAGCCCCUACUUCCAUCAAUAGCACAGAACAGAUGUUUGUAAAUGGCACUGAAUGACUAUGGAAAUAAAUCUGAAGGGUUCUUCAACUCGCUGUAGAUUUUACUUCUGGGUCUAGAGACACAUAUUUAGAAAUCAAGGGCUCAGACAGAACGCCACCACCAUCCAAGGCAGUGACUGUGUUAGGCGGUAUACUAAUUCUGCACAGCUAGAAGUGUGUCCAACUUUCAGAGAAAGCCCAAUAAAUCUAACACCAGUAAGAUCCUUCUAAGGAUGUAGUGGUCAUAAAUGUGUUUCAUGUGCAAAAUUUAAAGACUGUAUAAAAAUGGUUAUUUUAGAACUAUGUUUUUAUAAACACAAUGAAUACAAUCCUAGGAGUUUCAACACACUCCAUAUCCAGGUUCCCCUUAUUAUCUUAUAACUGAAUGGCAGAUUUAUCAGGAUAACGAAUGGAUGUUGAUGCAUUAUUAGCUAAGCUCUAUGUUCCUUACAUCUCCUUAGCUUUCAGAUUUAUUCUCUCUCCACCCCAGGAUCCCUUCCAGGAGACACACUGUAUGGCCUAGGCAUAGAUCUCCCUGUGGCAGUUUCUCUGCUAGGACUUGAUAUCCUGAUCUUAAAGUUUUUUAAGUCUUUUUCUAUCCUCAAGUAGAAUUUACCCGAUGCUCAGCCAUGAAUCAAUGGGGAUUCUAAGUUGCUGGGAGGAAGAGCAAGGAGAAAGGCAUUUCCAUCACACUCUCCCGAGCACACACCUACGGCCUCAGUGGCAAACCUGGCUGAGGAAGUGUCUGCAGGUUUCUCCAUGGUGUGUUCUCCCCACCCUCGCUUUCCACUCUGAGCCUUUUGGAAGGAGGCCAGUUGUCAUCAGCAACCCAUUCUGAAGAAGUGGAAGUUUAUGUUAUACCUGCCUACGAUGUUGUAAGAACACCAGAGCACCCAAUUAUGCCAUAAAUGAGAAAACAAACACUGUAACAGAAAAUGUACCCUGCCUUUAAAACUAGCUGUGAGGACUCUGAAAUAA
Mus musculus (house mouse) is the source of this 25281-nucleotide long non-coding RNA. RefSeq annotates it as predicted gene, 51815. The record is from RefSeq and is a predicted model, not a curated record. The transcript is spliced from 3 exons. NCBI's taxonomy places the organism in Eukaryota, Metazoa, Chordata, Mammalia, Rodentia, Muridae.